Molecule: unclassified non-coding RNA, 441 nt
Filed under: Pseudalbizzia polycephala
Lineage: Eukaryota; Viridiplantae; Streptophyta; Magnoliopsida; Fabales; Fabaceae
Description: Albizia polycephala partial external transcribed spacer
Source: RNAcentral
GCGUGUGAGUGGUGUUUGGAUUGUCUCUGCCGGCUGGCUCCGUGCUCGAGCGCCGAACGGCCGGCAGGCAAUCCGCGUGGGUUGUUGUGAGGUGGGAUGUUGCCUUAGAGGCUGGUUCUUGUGUUGCCUACCCCUCCAAGGGAAGCAGGCCACUUGCACUUAGCCUCCGUCUUGCGCCCUUCCAUUGGGCGCAGGAGGACAACGAAGCACCCCCCGUGUUCCACCGAGCCUUCACCGGUCGCGUGGCCCGCGGGGAAGUGCAGCGCUCUCGGACCCAGCGCACGCCGUGGACGAGGGCUCGUGCCCCGUCCUAAGAGGAGCUUUGAUAUAAUGUGUGACGGCCGCUCCCGUCCCUUGGCCGCCUCGGCGGUGCGGGGCCGGCGGGCGACGUCGUGGAGGAUUGCUACCUGGUUGAUCCUGCCAGUAGUCAUAUGCUUGUCU